UAAAGGCUCACCAAGGCGACGAUCCCUAGCUGGUCUGAGAGGAUGAUCAGCCACACUGGAACUGAGACACGGUCCAGACUCCUACGGGAGGCAGCAGUGGGGAAUAUUGCACAAUGGGGGAAACCCUGAUGCAGCCAUGCCGCGUGUAUGAAGAAGGCCUUCGGGUUGUAAAGUACUUUCAGCAGUGAGGAAGGUGGUGUCGUUAAUAGCGGCAUCGCUUGACGUUAGCUGCAGAAGAAGCACCGGCUAACUCCGUGCCAGCAGCCGCGGUAAUACGGAGGGUGCGAGCGUUAAUCGGAAUUACUGGGCGUAAAGCGCAUGCAGGCGGUCUGUUAAGCAAGAUGUGAAAGCCCGGGGCUUAACCUCGGAACUGCAUUUUGAACUGGCAGACUAGAGUCUUGUAGAGGGGGGUAGAAUUUCAGGUGU
RNAcentral lists this ribosomal RNA (426 nucleotides) under Photobacterium sp. R-90. Its description in RNAcentral is "bacterial SSU rRNA". It matches the Rfam family "Bacterial small subunit ribosomal RNA", at positions 258 to 676 of the family's 1533-position model. Lineage: Bacteria; Pseudomonadati; Pseudomonadota; Gammaproteobacteria; Vibrionales; Vibrionaceae. The record is from RNAcentral.